RNAcentral lists this ribosomal RNA (552 nucleotides) under Clonostachys aranearum. RNAcentral describes it as "eukaryotic LSU rRNA". The stretch from base 170 to 323 matches the Rfam family "5.8S ribosomal RNA". The record is from RNAcentral. Lineage: Eukaryota; Fungi; Ascomycota; Sordariomycetes; Hypocreales; Bionectriaceae.
GGAGGAUCAUUACCGAGUUUACAACUCCCAAACCCAUGUGAACAUACCUACUGUUGCUUCGGCGGGAUUGCCCCGGGCGCCUCGUGUGCCCCGGAUCAGGCGCCCGCCUAGGAAACUCAACUCUUGUUUUAUUUUGGAAUCUUCUGAGUAGUUUUUACAAAUAAAUAAAAACUUUCAACAACGGAUCUCUUGGUUCUGGCAUCGAUGAAGAACGCAGCGAAAUGCGAUAAGUAAUGUGAAUUGCAGAAUUCAGUGAAUCAUCGAAUCUUUGAACGCACAUUGCGCCCGCCAGUAUUCUGGCGGGCAUGCCUGUCUGAGCGUCAUUUCAACCCUCAUGCCCCUAGGGCGUGGUGUUGGGGAUCGGCCAAAGCCCGCGAGGGACGGCCGGCCCCUAAAUCUAGUGGCGGACCCGUCGUGGCCUCCCCUGCGAAGUAGUGAUAUUCCGCAUCGGAGAGCGACGAGCCCCUGCCGUUAAACCCCCAACUUUCCAAGGUUGACCUCAGAUCAGGUAGGAAUACCCGCUGAACUUAAGCAUAUCAAUAAGCGGAGGAA